UACGUAGGCAGCAAGCGUUGUUCGGAAUUACUGGGCGUAAAGGGCUCGUAGGCGGCCAACUAAGUCAGACGUGAAAUCCCUCGGCUCAACCGAGGAACUGCAUCCGAUACUGGCGGGCUUGAAUCCGGGAGAGGGAUGUGGAAUUCCAGGUGUAGCGGUGAAAUGCGUAGAUAUCUGGAGGAACACCGGUGGCGAAGGCGGCAUCCUGGACCAACACUGACGCUGAGUGAGCGAAAGCCAGGGGAGCAAACGGG
Molecule: ribosomal RNA, 254 nt
Filed under: uncultured bacterium
Lineage: Bacteria
Description: partial 16S ribosomal RNA
Rfam family: Bacterial small subunit ribosomal RNA
Source: RNAcentral